UAAGGAAUAUUGGUCAAUGGGCGCAAGCCUGAUCCAGCCAUGCCGCGUGAGUGAAGAAGGCCUUCGGGUUGUAAAGCUCUUUCGGACGGGAAGAAAUGGCGGGCUCUAACAUAGCCUGUCGAUGACGGUACCGUAAGAAGAAGCACCGGCUAACUACGUGCCAGCAGCCGCGGUAAUACGUAGGGUGCGAGCGUUAAUCGGAAUUACUGGGCGUAAAGCGUGCGUAGGCGGUUUCGUAAGUCGGGUGUGAAAGCCCCGGGCUCAACCUGGGAAUUGCAUUCGAGACUGCGGAGCUGGAGUGCGGAAGAGGGAAGUGGAAUUGCCGGUGGAGCGGUGAAAUGCGUAGAUAUCGGAAGGAACAUCAGUGGCGAAAGCGACUUCCUGGUCCAGCACUGACGCGCAGGCACGAAAGCGUGGGGAGCAAACA
Molecule: ribosomal RNA, 427 nt
Filed under: uncultured bacterium
Lineage: Bacteria
Description: bacterial SSU rRNA
Rfam family: Bacterial small subunit ribosomal RNA
Source: RNAcentral